AUGAACGCUGGCGGCGUGCCUAAUACAUGCAAGUCGAGCGAACGGACGAGAAGCUUGCUUCUCUGAUGUUAGCGGCGGACGGGUGAGUAACACGUGGAUAACCUACCUAUAAGACUGGGAUAACUUCGGGAAACCGGAGCUGAUACCGGAUAAUAUUUUGAACCGCAUGGUUCAAAAGUGAAAGACGGUCUUGCUGUCACUUAUAGAUGGAUCCGCGCUGCAUUAGCUAGUUGGUAAGGUAACGGCUUACCAAGGCAACGAUGCAUAGCCGACCUGAGAGGGUGAUCGGCCACACUGGAACUGAGACACGGUCCAGACUCCUACGGGAGGCAGCAGUAGGGAAUCUUCCGCAAUGGGCGAAAGCCUGACGGAGCAACGCCGCGUGAGUGAUGAAGGUCUUCGGAUCGUAAAACUCUGUUAUUAGGGAAGAACAUAUGUGUAAGUAACUGUGCACAUCUUGACGGUACCUAAUCAGAAAGCCACGGCUAACUACGUG
This 496-nucleotide ribosomal RNA is filed under the name uncultured bacterium. RNAcentral describes it as "partial 16S ribosomal RNA". It matches the Rfam family "Bacterial small subunit ribosomal RNA", at positions 29 to 507 of the family's 1533-position model. The record is from RNAcentral.